This 699-nucleotide ribosomal RNA is filed under the name Vibrio sp. KR08-28. RNAcentral's name for it is "bacterial SSU rRNA". It matches the Rfam family "Bacterial small subunit ribosomal RNA", at positions 102 to 796 of the family's 1533-position model. The record is from RNAcentral. Lineage: Bacteria; Pseudomonadati; Pseudomonadota; Gammaproteobacteria; Vibrionales; Vibrionaceae.
ACGGGUGAGUAAUGCCUGGGAAAUUGCCCUGAUGUGNNGGAUAACCAUUGGAAACGAUGGCUAAUACCGCAUAACGUCUACGGACCAAAGAGGGGGACCUUCGGGCCUCUCGCUUCAGGAUAUGCCCAGGUGGGAUUAGCUAGUUGGUGAGGUAAUGGCUCACCAAGGCGACGAUCCCUAGCUGGUCUGAGAGGAUGAUCAGCCACACUGGAACUGAGACACGGUCCAGACUCCUACGGGAGGCAGCAGUGGGGAAUAUUGCACAAUGGGCGCAAGCCUGAUGCAGCCAUGCCGCGUGUAUGAAGAAGGCCUUCGGGUUGUAAAGUACUUUCAGUCGUGAGGAAGGCGUUGAAGUUAAUAGCUUNNNNNUUUGACGUUAGCGACAGAAGAAGCACCGGCUAACUCCGUGCCAGCAGCCGCGGUAAUACGGAGGGUGCGAGCGUUAAUCGGAAUUACUGGGCGUAAAGCGCAUGCAGGUGGUUUGUUAAGUCAGAUGUGAAAGCCCGGGGCUCAACCUCGGAACCGCAUUUGAAACUGGCAGGCUAGAGUACUGUAGAGGGGGGUAGAAUUUCAGGUGUAGCGGUGAAAUGCGUAGAGAUCUGAAGGAAUACCAGUGGCGAAGGCGGCCCCCUGGACAGAUACUGACACUCAGAUGCGAAAGCGUGGGGAGCAAACAGGAUUAANAUACCCUGGUAGUCC